CGUGUAGGCGGCCCGGAAAGUCGGAUGUGAAAGCCCUGGGCUUAACCUAGGAAGUGCAUUCGAAACUGCCGGGCUUGAGUUCUGGAGAGGAAGGCGGAAUUCUCGGUGUAGAGGUGAAAUUCGUAGAUAUCGAGAGGAACACCGGUGGCGAAGGCGGCCUUCUGGACAGUGACUGACGCUGAGACGCGAAAGCGUGGGGAGCAAACAGGAUUAGAUACCCUGGUAGUCCACGCCGUAAACGAUGAGUGCUAGGUGUCGCGGGCUUUGACCCCUGCGGUGCCGCAGCUAACGCAUUAAGCACUCCGCCUGGGGAGUACGGCCGCAAGGCUAAA
RNAcentral lists this ribosomal RNA (332 nucleotides) under uncultured Polyangium sp. RNAcentral's name for it is "bacterial SSU rRNA". It matches the Rfam family "Bacterial small subunit ribosomal RNA", at positions 568 to 898 of the family's 1533-position model. Lineage: Bacteria; Pseudomonadati; Myxococcota; Polyangiales; Polyangiaceae. The record is from RNAcentral.